This 170-nucleotide ribosomal RNA is filed under the name Sphyraena forsteri (bigeye barracuda). RNAcentral describes it as "partial 12S rRNA". The record is from RNAcentral. Lineage: Eukaryota; Metazoa; Chordata; Actinopteri; Sphyraenidae.
CACCGCGGUUAUACGAGAGGCCCAAGUUGACAGAUCACGGCGUAAAGCGUGGUUAAGGUAAAUAAGAACUAAAGCUGAACGGCCUUAAGACUGUUAUACGUUUCCAAUGGCACGAAGCCCAAUUACGAAAGUGACUUUAUACAACACCUGACUCCACGAAAGCUGAGGAA